AACAUGUUUCUCUCUCCUCAAUCCUCGUACCGUAUCCAACUUUCUCUCUCCACGAAAUUGCAGUUCUCUCGCAACUUUCUACCCGAUUUUCUUCACAUUUUAGAAAAUCUGUCAUAAAAAUAGGUAGAAUUCGUCAAUUUUAUGCUGCAAUUAUACUCGAAUUAUUCGUAAAAUGGAAUUAUACUCAAACUAUUCAUAAAAUUUUAGAGUUCGUGGAAGCAAAUUCGAAGUAUGUUGUGCAACGUUCAAAUAUCUUCACAUGAAUCUGCAAAUUUCGAUGUCUAAAUCAGAGUAUUCUAUUGAGUCUUGGAGUAUGUUGUCAAGUUGAGGGAAGAUAAACUAGGUACAGCAAACACUGACUUUGAUGAUGAAAUGAGCAGGCUUGGCGAGCUAUUGAGGAAGCCGGGAAGAGCAGAAAUAGAAAAACAAAAUCCCUCAUCGAUCCAAAUUCUAAGAGAACAAAGAAAGAGACAACAAAUAGGUGGGGAGGGUUGGGUUUUAGGAUUUGAGGAUGAAGAAGCAGUUCCUCACAUAUUGCAGCUGCCUCUGUUGUGUAACAUAGUGUAUAGUUUCAGUGAUGUAAGCUUUGUGUGGCCUUUACUUGUUAAAGCUUUGUGUGCAUUUGUUCUCUUUAUUUCAUUUAUUUAAAUUGAUUGCUGAAAGUGAUAUUUUUCCUUCUUCUUUCAUCCGACAUGGAGCUCUCCUCAUGGGAAGAAAUUGAUGUAUGGAUGAGAUCUAAUACCAUUACCCUUUGUCUUCAGGUUAUUAUUAGUAGUAUUUGCCACUGAACUGUAACUCUGUAAGUUAUUAUUAGUAGUAUUUGUUCAACUCUCA
Spinacia oleracea (spinach) is the source of this 834-nucleotide long non-coding RNA. RefSeq lists it as uncharacterized. The transcript has 2 exons. NCBI's taxonomy places the organism in Eukaryota, Viridiplantae, Streptophyta, Magnoliopsida, Caryophyllales, Amaranthaceae. The record is from RefSeq and is a predicted model, not a curated record.